RNAcentral lists this ribosomal RNA (269 nucleotides) under uncultured prokaryote. Its description in RNAcentral is "partial 16S ribosomal RNA". It matches the Rfam family "Bacterial small subunit ribosomal RNA", at positions 524 to 792 of the family's 1533-position model. The record is from RNAcentral.
UACGUAGGUGGCAAGCGUUGUCCGGAUUUAUUGGGCGUAAAGGGAGCGCAGGCGGUGACUUAAGUCUGAUGUGAAAGCCCACGGCUCAACCGUGGAAGGUCAUUGGAAACUGGGUCACUUAAAUACAGAAGAGGAAAGUGGAAUUCCAUGUGUAGCGGUGAAAUGCGUAGAUAUAUGGAGGAACACCAGUGGCGAAGGCGACUUUCUGGUCUGUUAUUGACGCCGAGGCUCGAAAGCAUGGGUAGCAAACAGGAUUAGAUACCCUGGUA